Molecule: long non-coding RNA, 534 nt
Filed under: Ananas comosus (pineapple)
Lineage: Eukaryota; Viridiplantae; Streptophyta; Magnoliopsida; Poales; Bromeliaceae
Description: long non-coding RNA (ACOM_LNC024248)
Source: RNAcentral
CAAAUCCCCUUUUUACAACUUAGUCCCUCAACUAUGCACUAUUCACUACGGGCAGCUUGAAAUCUGAUAUCUUUCGCCGGAACUCCCUGAAUGUCCGUUUGAGCUCAAACUUGACAGUCAUAUUCGGUUUUACGUACUGAGCAAGAAUAUAUUUUAAGUUUUCAGUUUCGACCCCAUUUGGUCACCGAAAACUGUACCAAACUGUAAUCUUUAUCAGAUAGCUGUCGGAUUUUAUUUCUCACUCUACGGGUGUCAGAAAAAUAUAAAACUUUAAAUCUAGUCUCAUAAAAAUAUUUCUGACUUAUCCGCCAAUUUUCAUAAUUUUCUGACACUGUGCAUUUUCUGCUAAUUUAUCUGUCUCGUUUCCAACAGAAAAUUUUAGAUGUUCUGUUUUCAUUCCGAUUUCAGCACAAGUCACUUCUGACUUAUGUUUUUACUCCUCUACAUCCAAUAAAAAUAGUAUCUCACCCUAUUUUUAUUUACUUUUAUUUUAUACCAAAAUCUGGUAUGUUACACAAACACUAUCCGGGGUCC